GUUAAUUUAUAUAUUACUUUUAUUUAUUUGUUGGCAAGUAUGUUUAUAGAAAUAACUUUUUUAUUAGUAAGUUUUAUUGAAAUUAUUGUUUAUAGUGAUAGUUUAUUGUACUGUGAAGGAUUUUUUUUUAUUAUUUAUAAGCAGAUUUUUUUUAUCGUACCUUUUGUAUCAGGGUUUAUUAAAUAUACAUUAAUUAUUUAUUAAUUUUCCCGAAAUUAGAAGAGAUAUUUUUUUAUGCUAGUUUUUGUGACAAAACAAUUAUUGAUUUAAAAAUAGGGGUGAUAUGCUAUUCAGUUCUAAAUAUCUGGUUAUUCAAUAAAUUAAUUUAAUUAAUAACAAUGAUUUGUUACUCUAAAAUUUGAUUUUAUGUAAUUUUAUUGUUAAAUAUUAUAGGGGAUAAGCUCUAUAAUAGUUCUAUAACUGUUUUGGGUUAAUAAAAUUUUGUAGGCUUGAUAACAGCCGUUAUUUAUUUCGUUAUAGUUAAUUUUUUUUUUGUAUUUAUUUAUUAAUUGGUUUAGGUAUUUAUUGAAUUUUUUUAUUUAAUUUUAUUUUAUAAGUAAUAAUGAUAGUAUUAGUAGUUUUGUAUAUUUAAAUAUAGUAAUUCGGCAAUUUUAGUUUUCGCCUGUUUAACAAAAACAUGUCCUUUAGAUUAUUAAUUUAAGGUCUGGCCUGCCCAGUGGUUUAUUAAACGGCCGCAGUAUAUUGACUGUGCAAAGGUAGCAUAAUCAUUUGUCUUUUAAUUGGAGGCUCGUAUGAAUGGUUGGACGAGAAACUAACUUUCUUUAUUUAAAUUUUAUGAAUUUGAUUUUUGAGUUAAAAAGCUUAAAUUUAUUUGCAAGACGAGAAGACCCUAUAGAAUUUUAUUUUGGUUAGGUAUUAUUAUUAUUUGUUUAUAUUUAUUUUAAUUUUUGAUUAGAAUUUUGUUGGGGCGACAGUGAAAAUUGAUUAACUUUCACUUGUUAUUUAUUCAUUAAUUAGUGUAUUUUUUGAUCCUAAGUUUUGGAUUAUAAGAUUAAAUUACCUUAGGGAUAACAGCGUAAUUCUUUCGGAGAGUUCUUAUCGAUGAAUAGAGUUUGC
This 1077-nucleotide ribosomal RNA is filed under the name Ugnius badius. RNAcentral describes it as "partial large subunit ribosomal RNA". The stretch from base 613 to 775 matches the Rfam family "Eukaryotic large subunit ribosomal RNA", at positions 2128 to 2337 of the family's 3401-position model. Lineage: Eukaryota; Metazoa; Arthropoda; Insecta; Hemiptera; Coreidae. The record is from RNAcentral.